UACAGAGGUGGCAAGCGUUAUUCGGAAUCACUGGGCUUAAAGGGUGCGUAGGCGGCGCGGUAAGUCGGGUGUGAAAUCUCGGGGCUUAACUCCGAAACUGCAUUCGAUACUGCCGUGCUUGAGGACUGGAGAGGAGACUGGAAUUUACGGUGUAGCGGUGAAAUGCGUAGAUAUCGUAAGGAAGACCAGUGGCGAAGGCGGGUCUCUGGACAGUUCCUGACGCUGAGGCACGAAGGCCAGGGGAGCAAACGGG
Molecule: ribosomal RNA, 253 nt
Filed under: uncultured bacterium
Lineage: Bacteria
Description: partial 16S ribosomal RNA
Rfam family: Bacterial small subunit ribosomal RNA
Source: RNAcentral